This 253-nucleotide ribosomal RNA is filed under the name uncultured bacterium. Its description in RNAcentral is "partial 16S ribosomal RNA". It matches the Rfam family "Bacterial small subunit ribosomal RNA", at positions 524 to 776 of the family's 1533-position model. The record is from RNAcentral.
UACGAAGGGGGCUAGCGUUGUUCGGAAUUACUGGGCGUAAAGCGCGCGCAGGCGGUCUUCCAAGUCAGUGGUGAAAGCCCGGAGCUCAACUCCGGAACUGCCAUUGAAACUGUAAGACUUGAGGACGAGAGAGGUGAGUGGAAUUCCCAGUGUAGAGGUGAAAUUCGUAGAUAUUGGGAAGAACACCGGUGGCGAAGGCGGCGACCUGGUCCAUUACUGACGCUGAGGCGCGACAGCGUGGGGAGCAAACAGG